Molecule: long non-coding RNA, 1524 nt
Organism: Nothobranchius furzeri (turquoise killifish)
Lineage: Eukaryota; Metazoa; Chordata; Actinopteri; Cyprinodontiformes; Nothobranchiidae
Source: RefSeq, a predicted model, not a curated record
GCAGCUGGUCCCUCUCACUUCCUGGUUUAACUCUGCUCGUCUCUGUUUGUAGCAACAAGAACAUCUGGGUUCUGCUCCUGGAAAGGAUGAAGCCGACUCUAAGACGGCGUCACCCUGGAAGACCGUACGGUUGGGCGUUCAGACGACGGCUAACUUUAAUUCCAUCAAGGUAAGAGGAAGCUCUUCCCUUCAUGUCUGAGCGAUCCGUCUCCAGGUUUCCUCGUCCGGCGUCCAGCCCGCUGGCAUCCACCUUCAUCUCAUCUCACUUCAUUUAUAGUGCAAUACUUUCACAUUAUCAUUUCCCCACACUUCUGUAUACCUGUAUUUUGUUGUUCUUCAAUAAAGAAUGACAAAUUAUUUAAGUUUGGUUUUUGUUGCACACAAAUAUCUGUAAAAAAUAUCUACAAAGCUAAUGUUUACAUAACAAGUAUGAUCGGGUUUUGCAAUACGGCACUCAAGUUUAUUUUAGUAAGAUUUUCAAACCAAGUAAAGUUAGUAAAGAACACAUUUCUAUUGUCUGCUAAGAAACUGUUGGGAUUUAAAAUGGGCCGUUGUACAAAUAACUUGUAAAUGAUUAUUCCUCACUUUUGUCUUAACCAAAGAAAUUCCAGUAAUUGAGCAAAAACAUUUAUUUUUAACACUACAUUUUAUAAAACAGGGCGCAAAGUGUCGGCACAUGUAUGUAUGUCGAUGGUCCGCCCCAACCAAACCAGGAGACACGGACGUCAGGGAGGCCAAGGUUGUGUCCGACGGUCUCUGCAGCUCUCUGGGCACCACGCCUCACGUAGCUGUCUCCAAUGAUCCAAAUGGCUAUGGAGAAAAAAUAACAGGUUUGUCAUAAUUUUUUUAAGUACAAAACCAUACAUGAAGUGGUCAAGACAGGAACUUACACUUGCUGCGUUGUGUAGCUGACGUUGGAGACACACAGGCUGCCAUGGUGACCUUUUAACAGAUCUAAGAAAAAAAUGUAAUAAAAGAAUGAAACUUAAAAACUCCAAGACCUCAUGUCAUAUUUACUAAUCAGCUAUGGCUGAUUUAUUGUUUGGAUCACAGUGAGUUACACUAAUUCUAAUAUAUUUUUAUUUCUAUUACACAUACAUACUUUUUAACUGUUAUUUUCACAUGACUGUUAUCAGGCUCUCUUGUUCUGGUUCUGAUGAUAAUUCCGUGUCUUCCAGUAAGUUAUCUUGUGCUUACUUCAUCUGUAUAAUGUCUCUUUACUUUUGGUAAAUUGUACUGAGUCCAGAAUAAAGGCUAGUUGGCUGUACAAGAUACAAACAAGUAUUACGUUUUGGAAAUAUAUGAAACACCGCCAGCAUCUGUUAGAGCCUGUGGCGGGGUGCUGAGGGCCGGCUCCAGCCCAGGAAUGAGCUCUCCACGCCGGCCGGGAGGGUUUGAAACACCGCCAUCCUCUCCUCUGCUGGCUGUUGUUCAUUCUGUUAUGGUUACCGGUGCUUGUGUUGCAAUGUGAAACGCUUGGUCUCAGAUUUUGUAAGAAAGAUAAUAAAAUGUCCCCCCAAAAUA